UACGUAGGGCGCAAGCGUUGUCCGGAAUUAUUGGGCGUAAAGAGCUCGUAGGUGGUUUGUCGCGUUGUUCGUGAAAACUCACAGCUCAACUGUGGGCGUGCGGGCGAUACGGGCAGACUGGAGUACUGCAGGGGAGACUGGAAUUCCUGGUGUAGCGGUGGAAUGCGCAGAUAUCAGGAGGAACACCGGUGGCGAAGGCGGGUCUCUGGGCAGUAACUGACGCUGAGGAGCGAAAGCGUGGGGAGCGAACAGG
This 253-nucleotide ribosomal RNA is filed under the name uncultured bacterium. RNAcentral's name for it is "partial 16S ribosomal RNA". It matches the Rfam family "Bacterial small subunit ribosomal RNA", at positions 524 to 776 of the family's 1533-position model. The record is from RNAcentral.